Brachypodium distachyon (stiff brome) is the source of this 1271-nucleotide long non-coding RNA. RefSeq lists it as uncharacterized. The record is from RefSeq and is a predicted model, not a curated record. NCBI's taxonomy places the organism in Eukaryota, Viridiplantae, Streptophyta, Magnoliopsida, Poales, Poaceae. The transcript has 3 exons.
GCAGCCUCUCCUCUGGCCGCCUCCGUCCCAAUCUCCGUCCCCGUCUCCGUCCGACGCGGCCCGCACCGGAGCAGCAGCCGGGCCAAAGGACCCCCACACCGACGAGGCCAUAGCAGCAGCCGGUAGUCCUUCUCCUCCUCCUCCCCGUUCUCCUCCGCCCCUGCCAAGACCCUGCCUCCUCCGCCACUGCCUUGACCCGGCCGCGUCCGCCCCUGCCUCGACCCGGCCUCCUCCGCUCCUGCCUCUACAGUUCAAGAGUUGUGUUCAAAUUGGCUGCCGAAUGGACUGAGGAUAACACUAGGAUUAUCGCUGAGUUGUUCGUCGAGCAAGUGCAGUUGGGAAAUAGGCGAAAGACUCACUUGACACCUGCUACAUAUGAGGAGGUUGCUUGUAAAUUCAAAAUGCUGACCAGUAAGGAGUACAAGCAGUGUCAACUGAAAAACAAAUGGGACAAACUGAAAGGUGAGUACAGCAUAUUCAAGAGACUGAAAAUGCAGACCGGAGGGUGAUGGAACUUAGAGAAAAACACUGUGACACAAGAUGCUGAGUGGUGGAAGAAGGCCAAAAAGAACAUUCCUGGUUGCGGCAAGUUCAAGAAGCAGGGGCUUUGCAAUGAAGAGAACCUAAGAUCAUGUUUGAAGACAUCACUAGUGAUGGUACAGAUCAUUGGAAUCCUACUUCGGGCGUACCACCUCCUUCCAGUGAAGCAUUAGCAGAUGCUAUGAAUGUUGAUGACAUCCAAGAUCUUGAUAAUGAAGAUACCGAAAUGCAACCAAGUCCAGGUAAUGCAGGAGCUAGUACCUCAGUCAAGAGGCUUGGAAAGUUUGUUCAUGAAGGGAGCAAGAAACCCAAGACUGCAAUGGUGAUGCAGGAGCAGAUUACAAGGAUCGCUGAUGUUGCUGUGCAAUCCCAAUCCUCUUUUGAGUCUUUCAUACGAGCUGAUGAUGCUAGCUCCGUGAAGACUGUCAUGGAUGCUGACAUAGAAUGUGGCGCUAAUGAAGGUAGUGAUGAGCACUACAUAGCCACUGAGUUGUUCGCCAAGAGAGACCUAAGGGAGAUUUUUAUGCACAUGAGUGUUGGGUCUCGUUUGGCUUGGCUUCGCAGGAAGUAUGACCACAAGUAUCCGAAGUAGAUGGUUCAAUUUUAUUUAUGUGUAAUGGUUGCAUGCUAUCGAGACUAUUUGUGCACUUUGUUGAACCAUUGUUUGAAAUCUGGCUUGUAAUGCUACUUGGAUGAUAUUUAUCUUUAUCUAUGGAUUGUAAUGUCUCUUU